GGGAACGUGCCUUUAGGUUCGGAAUAGCUCCUGGAAACGGGUGGUAAUGCCGAAUGUGCCCUUCGGGGGAAAGAUUUAUCGCCUUUAGAGCGGCCCGCGUCUGAUUAGCUAGUUGGUUGAGGUAACGGCUCACCAAGGCGACGAUCAGUAGCUGGUCUGAGAGGAUGGCCAGCCACAUUGGGACUGAGACACGGCCCAAACUCCUACGGGAGGCAGCAGUGGGGAAUCUUGCGCAAUGGGCGAAAGCCUGACGCAGCCAUGCCGCGUGAAUGAUGAAGGUCUUAGGAUUGUAAAAUUCUUUCACCGGGGACGAUAAUGACGGUACCCGGAGAAGAAGCCCCGGCUAACUUCGUGCCAGCAGCCGCGGUAAUACGAAGGGGGCUAGCGUUGCUCGGAAUUACUGGGCGUAAAGGGCGUGUAGGCGGACAUUUAAGUCAGGGGUGAAAUCCCAGAGCUCAACUCUGGAACUGCCUUUGAUACUGGGUGUCUUGAGUGUGAGAGAGGUAUGUGGAACUCCGAGU
RNAcentral lists this ribosomal RNA (521 nucleotides) under uncultured bacterium. Its description in RNAcentral is "bacterial SSU rRNA". It matches the Rfam family "Bacterial small subunit ribosomal RNA", at positions 120 to 674 of the family's 1533-position model. The record is from RNAcentral.